Molecule: ribosomal RNA, 308 nt
Filed under: Leuconostoc citreum
Lineage: Bacteria; Bacillati; Bacillota; Bacilli; Lactobacillales; Lactobacillaceae
Description: bacterial SSU rRNA
Rfam family: Bacterial small subunit ribosomal RNA
Source: RNAcentral
UGAACGCUGGCGGCGUGCCUAAUACAUGCAAGUCGAACGCGCAGCGAGAGGUGCUUGCACCUUUCAAGCGAGUGGCGAACGGGUGAGUAACACGUGGAUAACCUGCCUCAAGGCUGGGGAUAACAUUUGGAAACAGAUGCUAAUACCGAAUAAAACUUAGUAUCGCAUGAUAUCAAGUUAAAAGGCGCUACGGCGUCACCUAGAGAUGGAUCCGCGGUGCAUUAGUUAGUUGGUGGGGUAAAGGCUUACCAAGACGAUGAUGCAUAGCCGAGUUGAGAGACUGAUCGGCCACAUUGGGACUUGAGACA